This 301-nucleotide ribosomal RNA is filed under the name uncultured bacterium. RNAcentral describes it as "partial 16S ribosomal RNA". It matches the Rfam family "Bacterial small subunit ribosomal RNA", at positions 509 to 807 of the family's 1533-position model. The record is from RNAcentral.
CAGUCGCCGCGGUAAUACGGAGGGAGCUAGCGUUGUUCGGAAUUACUGGGCGUAAAGCGCGCGUAGGCGGUUACUCAAGUCAGAGGUGAAAGCCCGGGGCUCAACCCCGGAACUGCCUUUGAAACUAGGUAACUAGAAUCUUGGAGAGGUCAGUGGAAUUCCGAGUGUAGAGGUGAAAUUCGUAGAUAUUCGGAAGAACACCAGUGGCGAAGGCGACUGACUGGACAAGUAUUGACGCUGAGGUGCGAAAGCGUGGGGAGCAAACAGGAUUAGAUACCCCUGUAGUCCCUGUCUCUUAUAC